GAUCCUGGCUCAGGAUGAACGCUAGCUACAGGCUUAACACAUGCAAGUCGAGGGGAAACGACAUCGAAAGCUUGCUUUUGAUGGGCGUCGACCGGCGCACGGGUGAGUAACGCGUAUCCAACCUGCCCACCACUUGGGGAUAACCUUGCGAAAGUAAGACUAAUACCCGAUGAUAUCCCUAGAAGACAUCUGAAAGGGAUUAAAGAUUUAUCGGUGAUGGAUGGGGAUGCGUCUGAUUAGCUUGUUGGCGGGGUAACGGCCCACCAAGGCAACGAUCAGUAGGGGUUCUGAGAGGAAGGUCCCCCACAUUGGAACUGAGACACGGUCCAAACUCCUACGGGAGGCAGCAGUGAGGAAUAUUGGUCAAUGGGCGCAAGCCUGAACCAGCCAAGUAGCGUGAGGGAAGACUGCCCUACGGGUUGUAAACUGCUUUUAUGCGGGGAUAACGUGCGCCACGUGUGGUGUAUUGCAGGUACCGCAUGAAUAAGGACCGGCUAAUUCCGUG
Molecule: ribosomal RNA, 505 nt
Filed under: uncultured bacterium
Lineage: Bacteria
Description: bacterial SSU rRNA
Rfam family: Bacterial small subunit ribosomal RNA
Source: RNAcentral